RNAcentral lists this long non-coding RNA (281 nucleotides) under Homo sapiens (human). Its description in RNAcentral is "HSALNT0167643". Lineage: Eukaryota; Metazoa; Chordata; Mammalia; Primates; Hominidae. The record is from RNAcentral.
UUCAGCCUCCCCACAAAAGAGAGUGAGAAAUAGGAUGCUCACAUCCUUAUUACGGGGGCUUCAUUGAUCGAGCAGCCAUUGUGUAUCUGUUAUGCAUGGCCUGUGCCAGGGAUUCAGCGGCCUCGUGGAGCGUUAUGAUGAAAUGCACAUGGAGAGGAAGAGUGUAUGGAAUCCACUGCCCCAAGAGGCAGGACCAACUGGAGAUAGGAAUCCCGUCUCACAGUUCACCUCACUCAACUUAGCAUUCCCUGUGGAAUUCUAGAUGGGUUAAACUAAAUUCA